GGGGCCGUAGCUCAGUUGGGAGAGCGCUUGCAUGGCAUGCAAGAGGUCGUGAGUUCGAGUCUCAUCGGCUCCA
This 73-nucleotide transfer RNA is filed under the name Phycisphaerales bacterium. RNAcentral's name for it is "tRNA-Ala". It matches the Rfam family "tRNA". From Rfam's summary of the family: Transfer RNA (tRNA) molecules are approximately 80 nucleotides in length. The record is from RNAcentral. Lineage: Bacteria; Pseudomonadati; Planctomycetota; Phycisphaerae; Phycisphaerales.